UACGUAGGGAGCAAGCGUUGUCCGGAAUCAUUGGGCGUAAAGCGCGCGUAGGUGGCCUCGUAAGUCCGCUGUGAAAGUCAAAGGCUCAACCUUUGAAAGCCGGUGGAUACUGUGAGGCUAGAGUACGGAAGAGGAGAGUGGAAUUCCUGGUGUAGCGGUGAAAUGCGCAGAUAUCAGGAAGAACACCCGUGGCUAAGGCGGCUCUCUAGUACGGUACUGACGCUGAGACGCGAAAGCGUGGGGAGCGAACAGG
This 253-nucleotide ribosomal RNA is filed under the name uncultured bacterium. Its description in RNAcentral is "partial 16S ribosomal RNA". It matches the Rfam family "Bacterial small subunit ribosomal RNA", at positions 524 to 776 of the family's 1533-position model. The record is from RNAcentral.